RNAcentral lists this ribosomal RNA (463 nucleotides) under Golubevia pallescens. Its description in RNAcentral is "partial contains internal transcribed spacer 1, 5.8S ribosomal RNA and internal transcribed spacer 2". The stretch from base 147 to 300 matches the Rfam family "5.8S ribosomal RNA". The record is from RNAcentral. Lineage: Eukaryota; Fungi; Basidiomycota; Exobasidiomycetes; Golubeviales; Golubeviaceae.
GGCCCGAACCUUCACAUAAUUUCCACACACUUGUGAAUCGUUGGAGCGUUUUUUGAAAAAGAGACGCUCUGGCACCCUUUAAUUAUUACAAACACCGAGUUAAUGGAUGUAGUUGUAAACUUGUCUUUUGACAGAAACAAAAAUACAACUUUCGACAACGGAUCUCUUGGUUCUCCCAUCGAUGAAGAACGCAGCGAAACGCGAUAGUUAAUGUGAAUUGCAGAAUUCAGUGAAUCAUCGAGUCUUUGAACGCAUCUUGCGCUCCUUGGUAUUCCGAGGAGCAUGCCUGUUUGAGUGUCAUGAAUCCCUCAGCCCCCAUCGUUUUUUGUUAAGCGAUUGGCUUGGGUCUGGAUUUGGGCGUCUUGCCAAUGCGCUUCUUCAAGUGCUUGGCUCGCCUUAAAGAGAUUAGCUGGACCCUAUUCCGAGCUGGUUCAACUCGACGUGAUAAUUUCAUUCGUCGAGG